UCAACAAGUCUUUGGUUCUCACCAAUAGACUAUACAUGCUCCUCCAUUUUACUGCUCUUUCUUUCUUGGUUUAUUAUAGGCUGUGUUUCUUCUUUCAGGAUCCACAGACCCGAGAACCCCCUUUGUUCCCUUGGCUUCUUGUUUUUGCCUCUGAAAUCAUUCUCUCCUUCAUUUGGAUUCUUCAUCAAGCUUUUCGUUGGCACCCCAUUUCCAGAACUGUGUUUCCUGAAAGAUUACCUCAAGAUGACAAUCUCCCUCUCCUAGAUGUCUUCAUAUGCACUGCAGACCCCACUAAGGAACCCACUUUGGACGUAAUGAACACUUUGUUAUCGGCCAUGGCACUGGAUUACCCACCAGAGAAGCUGCAUCUGUAUGUUUCUGAUGAU
RNAcentral lists this long non-coding RNA (386 nucleotides) under Phaseolus vulgaris (common bean). Its description in RNAcentral is "long non-coding RNA (PVUL_LNC002249)". The record is from RNAcentral. Lineage: Eukaryota; Viridiplantae; Streptophyta; Magnoliopsida; Fabales; Fabaceae.